AGCUUUGCGCAGUGGCAGUAUCGUAGCCAAUGAGGUUUAUCCGAGGCGCAAUUAUUGCUAAUUGAAAACUUUUCUCAAAUAUAAGUUACUUUGCAUACUGUCAUCAUGUAUUUCUGUGUUUGCUUUAUCUGUAAUUUCAGUUCAUUUAUAUAAU
The sequence is a small nuclear RNA, 154 nucleotides long. Its record names the gene U4. It matches the Rfam family "U4 spliceosomal RNA". Rfam says of the family: U4 small nuclear RNA (U4 snRNA) is a component of the major U2-dependent spliceosome. The structure of U4 snRNA from yeast and human has been reported. The record is from Ensembl.